GGUUCAGGAUGAACGCUAGCUACAGGCUUAACACAUGCAAGUCGAGGGGCAGCGGGAGAGUAGCUUGCUACUCUUGCCGGCGACCGGCGCACGGGUGAGUAACGCGUAUCCAACCUUCCCCCUAGUAGGGGAUAGCCCGGCGAAAGUCGGAUUAAUACCCUAUGUUCUCCUUUGAUGACAUCUGAUAUGGAGCAAAGAUUUAUCGCUAUGGGAUGGGGAUGCGUCUGAUUAGGUAGUAGGCGGGGCAACGGCCCACCUAGCCAUCGAUCAGUAGGGGUUCUGAGAGGAAGGUCCCCCACAUUGGAACUGAGACACGGUCCAAACUCCUACGGGAGGCAGCAGUGAGGAAUAUUGGUCAAUGGGCGUGAGCCCGAACCAAGCCAAGUAGCGUGCGGGAUGACUGCCCUAUGGGUUGUAAACCGCUUUUGUACGGGAAUAAAGUCGGGGACGGGUCCCCGUUUGCAUGUACCGUAAGAAUAAGGACCGGCUAAUUCCGUGCCAGCAGCCGC
RNAcentral lists this ribosomal RNA (509 nucleotides) under uncultured bacterium. RNAcentral describes it as "bacterial SSU rRNA". It matches the Rfam family "Bacterial small subunit ribosomal RNA", at positions 21 to 518 of the family's 1533-position model. The record is from RNAcentral.